This 1193-nucleotide long non-coding RNA is filed under the name Piliocolobus tephrosceles (Ugandan red Colobus). Its description in RNAcentral is "lncRNA (ENSPTEG00000008537.1)". The record is from RNAcentral. Lineage: Eukaryota; Metazoa; Chordata; Mammalia; Primates; Cercopithecidae.
GCUCAUCGAAAUGUGGUUAAAAAAUUAUCAAAAUUAUAUUCAGAUAAAAUAUUAUAUAAGCAUAAGGACAAAUGGGUUAAGAGAAAAAAAAUGAAUGGAGUUAGUGGUGGUUCUUUAUUACGUUCGGAGACAUGGACGAGUUCAAGCAGUUUGUUAGGUCCUGUCACUACUAGCGCUACCACUGCUACUACCGUUACUACCACCACCACUACCACCACUACCACUACUACCACUGCUAACAGCGUAGUCCUGUUUGAUUAUAUAUAUCGCAUAGACAAAAACGAUAUAAACGAUUUUAAUGAAAUAUAUAAAAUUUUUAAAAGUAAAUAUAUCAACUUCAUCCCUAAAAAAUACGACUUAAAUGAUGUAUUUUGUCCUAUUAUUAAAAACAUAUAUUCGAAUUUCCAUGAGCUUAAAAUUUUAUUAUGCUUAAAAAAAAUAGAUAAAAUAUAUGCCUUAUUUUGGACAAAUAUGCAUAAUUGUAUUAAUAUAUAUCCGUUCUGUAAAUACCUUAAUAAACUGACAUUUUUUAUGUUAGACCUGGGAUUAACUGUUUUAUUACCCCUUUAUGAAAUCGACAACAUAAUUCAUAUGUAUAAGUUUGUGAAGUCUUUAUGUGGUAGCAAUAGUGGUGAUAGCAAUAGUGGUGAUAGCAAUAGUGGUGAUAGCAAUAGUGGUGAUAGCAAUGGUGGUGGUAGUAAAGCGGGUGGUGCUACAGGAACAAUCGACAACCACAACUACGACAGUCACAAGAAUGUGGAACAUAAGCAGAAAGAAACGAGAAAAACUAAAGACAACGCUUUGACAACUAGCAUAAAUAAUGAAGCAUCAUGUGAAAACGUAUUGAAUUUAACAGCUGAUUAUUUAAAACGUAAACUAAAAAUGCACAUAUCAACUUAUGUUUCGUUUAUAAAAGAAUGUCUAAAUGAAAAAGACUCAUGUACAGUCAUAUAUUUAUUAGAUUUUGUUUUUUCGGAUUUCAAAGAGCACAAUUCAAAAGAUAUUUUAAUGAGGUGGUUAAAGUGUAUUCCAUUACUAAUGGUAAUAAAUUUUGAUAAUUUAUAUAUAAAACAAAAAAUAGAAAAUUAUAUAAAAACGAAGGAACAAAUAAGGCAAAACGUAUGUAAACCGAGUGAUAGUAUUUUAAAAGAACGUAACAUUUUUACUACUGCCACUGGUACAACUCUUUAUUC